This 452-nucleotide ribosomal RNA is filed under the name uncultured bacterium. RNAcentral's name for it is "bacterial SSU rRNA". It matches the Rfam family "Bacterial small subunit ribosomal RNA", at positions 29 to 524 of the family's 1533-position model. The record is from RNAcentral.
AACGAACGCUGGCGGCAGGCCUAACACAUGCAAGUCGAACGCUCGUAGCAAUACGAGAGUGGCAGACGGGUGAGUAACACGUGGGAACCUUCCCUAUGGUUCGGAAUAGCUCAGGGAAACUUGGGGUAAUACCGGAUAAGCCCUUCGGGGAAAGGAUUUAUCGCCAUUGGAUGGGCCCGCCGUCGGAUUAGCUAGUUGGUGAGGUAACGGCUCACCAAGGCAACGAUCCGUAGCUGGUCUGAGAGGAUGAUCAGCCACACUGGGACUGAGACACGGCCCAGACUCCUACGGGAGGCAGCAGUGGGAAUAUUGGACAAUGGGCGCAAGCCUGAUCCAGCCAUGCCGCGUGAGUGACGAAGGUCUUCGGAUUGUAAAACUCUUUUGGCGGGGACGAUAAUGACGGUACCCGCAGAAUAAGCCCCGGCUAACUUCGUGCCAGCAGCCGCAGUAAC